RNAcentral lists this small RNA (304 nucleotides) under uncultured bacterium. RNAcentral's name for it is "bacterial SSU rRNA". It matches the Rfam family "Bacterial small subunit ribosomal RNA", at positions 69 to 358 of the family's 1533-position model. The record is from RNAcentral.
GGGUUUUGGGUAACUGAGACCCUAGUGGCAAACGGGUGAGUAACACGUGGGUUACCUACCCUCAAGUGGGGAAUAACGACCCGAAAGGGUCGCUAAUACCGCAUGUGGUCGUGAGACCAAAGCCGCGCGUAAGUGUGGCGCUUGGGGAGGGGCCUGCGGCCCAUCAGGUAGUUGGUAGGGUUAUUCUCUACCAAGCCGGAAAAGGGUAGCUGAUCUGAGAGGAUGACCAGCCACACUGGCAUNGAUCCACGGGCCAGGGACCUACGGGAGGCAGCAUCGGGUCUGNUGUUNAACUCGAGCCGUC